CAACCCCUAAGCACAGCUUAUUGUUGGGAAUCUACGGUCUCGUAGUUCCUCAAAGACAUUGGCGGAGUGGCAGCAGUCCUCUGAGCGUAGUAAUUUUUUAUCUCGCUUCUGUUAGGCGCUGUCCCCCCGGCCGUUAAACCCCCAAUUUUUUCU
This 153-nucleotide unclassified non-coding RNA is filed under the name uncultured Nigrospora. RNAcentral's name for it is "sequence contains ITS2". Lineage: Eukaryota; Fungi; Ascomycota; Sordariomycetes; Trichosphaeriales. The record is from RNAcentral. RNAcentral also lists the same sequence under 1 other name.